GUAUAUAUAGUUUAACUAAAACACUAGGCUGUGAUUCUAGAUAUAAGAGUUAAAUCCUCUUUAUAGACC
Molecule: transfer RNA, 69 nt
Filed under: Desmognathus quadramaculatus (black-bellied salamander)
Lineage: Eukaryota; Metazoa; Chordata; Amphibia; Caudata; Plethodontidae
Description: tRNA-His
Rfam family: tRNA
About the family: Transfer RNA (tRNA) molecules are approximately 80 nucleotides in length. Their secondary structure includes four short double-helical elements and three loops (D, anti-codon, and T loops). Further hydrogen bonds mediate the characteristic L-shaped molecular structure. tRNAs have two regions of fundamental functional importance: the anti-codon, which is responsible for specific mRNA codon recognition, and the 3' end, to which the tRNAs corresponding amino acid is attached (by aminoacyl-tRNA synthetases). tRNAs cope with the degeneracy of the genetic code in two manners: having more than one tRNA (with a specific anti-codon) for a particular amino acid; and 'wobble' base-pairing, i.e. permitting non-standard base-pairing at the 3rd anti-codon position.
Source: RNAcentral